AACGGCGAGUGAAGAGGGAAAAGCCCAAAUUUGUAAUCUGGCCCUUUCUUCAAAAGGGUCCGAAUUGUAAUUUUGAGAACUGUUUUCUGUGCUGGACCAUGUACAAGUCUGUUGAAAAACAGCAUCAUUGAGGGUGAAAAUCCCGUAGAUGAUAUGGACUACCAGGGCAAUAUGAUACAGUCUCUAAGAGUCGAGUUGUUUGGGAAUGCAGCUCAAAGUGGGUGGUAAAUUCCAUCUAAGGCUAAAUAUAGGUGAGAGACCGAUAGCAAACAAGUACCGUGAGGGAAAGAUGAAAAGAACUUUGGAAAGAGAGUUAACAGUACGUGAAAUUGUUAAAAGGGAAACAUUUGAAGUUAGACUUGUUAUUGUUGGAUCAGCUUCUUUAUUGAGGUGUAUUCUGAUGAUUAACAGACCAGCAUCAAUUUUUGAGUGCCGGAAAAAGGUAUUGGGAAUGUAGCAUCCUCUGGUUGUGUUAUAGACCUUUACUUCAGAAUACGGUGCUUAGGAUUGAGGAACGCGGUAAGCUUUGUUGCAGAACCUUGUUAAACACAGGGGUCUCCUUACUA
Molecule: ribosomal RNA, 566 nt
Filed under: Pucciniastrum circaeae
Lineage: Eukaryota; Fungi; Basidiomycota; Pucciniomycetes; Pucciniales; Pucciniastraceae
Description: eukaryotic LSU rRNA
Rfam family: Eukaryotic large subunit ribosomal RNA
Source: RNAcentral